RNAcentral lists this unclassified non-coding RNA (1682 nucleotides) under Leishmania donovani. Its description in RNAcentral is "gene:unknown". The record is from RNAcentral. Lineage: Eukaryota; Euglenozoa; Kinetoplastea; Trypanosomatida; Trypanosomatidae.
GCCUUUUAGGCGACACUCGGGCAUACACACAUACAGAUAACAUCGCCGCCGUCACCACGACAUACAUUCACACACAUACACAUAUUUCAUAUACACAAACACACACACACACACACAUGCACACACGUACUUGCUAUCUCUAUCUCUCUGGAUACACGCACAGCGAUGCAGUGCUCUGCGUCGCAUCUUCGUGCACAUGUGCAUAAAUUCCCACACAUGCAAUCAAGCUCGCUUAUUGAUCUAUUUUUUUUUCGUUUGACUUUUGCCUGCCCUUCACCACGUACGCGCGGCAAAUCUGCCUGGGGGGGGGCGAAAAAAUGACGAAGAUAACAGCAAGAGACUGACGCUACGGACUCUUCCGGCCCAUUUCUUCACUGUUCCUCGCUCUCUCUGCUUCUGUGAAUGCCGACUUUGGGGCAAGGACGCGUUGGAGGCGGAGGGAGGAGCUUCUCAUCUGCGUCCGCGCCUCCACACAGCAGUAUGCAUUUUCAUUCGUUGAAACGCUCUUGUUGGGGGAUCGCUGCGCACACGAGGGGCGAGAGGAAGACGGGGAGGGAGGUGAGACGCAUCCGCACCUCCUCACCUCUCCCUUCCACCGCUGCCCCCAUCAUCACCGGCUUGUCUGUGGUUGCAUUGCAUUUUUGGUUUCCGGGAUGCUCAUCGACGUCAGUUUCUUCCCUGCGGCUGCUUCCUCCUCAAGAUUUGGAUUUCCCUGUCCAUGGAGAGCCCCUUCUGACUCGCCGCUUUUUCGUGGGGCUGCUCUCGUGCUCCUGCUUCUGACUAUCUCGCAAUGCCCGACGCAGAAGGUGAGGGCAUCCGAGGAGCUUUCUUACCCAUUGCGCCCACGCGCUGCCAAGCGCACCACAACGGACGUCCAUUUGAGGAGAGCAGAUAUGCGGAGGACUGCAGAAAGCGUGGAGACGUCGACUGGGCUGUCGAACUCUCUUCCGGAGGUCUCCUCGCACCACCUACAAGCUUCGUGAUCUCAAGUCGGCCUUCUCUUGCGGCGCGAUGGCAGCAAGGGGUGCAUCGGAGCCAGAACACGGCGAUGUGGUGUGUUUUGCUCGGCUUCUGCCGACGUACUGGUUCAUCUUCCGAUGUGCGCACAAGCGCGGUUUCCUUCGUAUGCGUGUGGAGUGUGUCUGUGGCGCGGCGUUCGCAGGUUGCCUGAACACUCGUGGACACAGACUCAAGGAUUUUCCGCAUUCGCAUCCUGGAUGUUUGGCACGCGAGUGGAAAGCUCUCCCGUUUCCCCGCCCGCCCCCGACGCCACUCCUGUACAGGCCUGUGCAUCUUCUUGUCACCCUUGUUUUCUCAUUGCAAUUUCCAAGCGUAAAGGUGUCCACGUGUGUGCAUGUGGAUGUGCAUGAGUGUGUGUGUACGUGCGUAUGUGUACGUGUACGUGUGUGCGGGUGUAUUUUUUUUUUUCGUUUCUUCUUGUCUUUCGUGUUUUCCCCUCGAUUCUUGUCUUGUUGCGUUUUGCCUCUCUAACUUGCGUUUUCCAAACGAACAAGCCAACAAAGCCCCUCCUCCUCCUCCAAAUAAAAAGAAUAAAGGGAUACACAUAAAGCCUCCCUCCCCACCCCCACCCCUCAAGCACCACCUGUAGCACCAAUGCAUCGUCGCCUUUACUGAAGAGGCCCUUGGCAAGAUACCUAAAAAUUCAUCAGAAGGAAAACAAG